GCUCUUGGGGGGCGAGGUUGAGAGGGAGGGUGACGCCAAGAAGGGAGAGAAAUACAUGCAUCAAUAGGUUAGGCAACAUAUUUCUCCUCCAGCAAUCCCGUUAUAACGUUGCCUACUCUGUCAAUACGGAGGAGAUAGUGUGAAUUUAAAGAGCCAGGAGAUCUGAUGAAGAUGAAGACAGUCAGUGUGGUGGUGCUGAGCUUGCUGCUCUGCUCAGCUCUGUCAGCCCCUUUGAAAGGUAAAGAAGACUCCCAGAAGACCAUGUUCUUUGGGGAGAACAUC
Oncorhynchus masou masou (cherry salmon) is the source of this 282-nucleotide long non-coding RNA. RefSeq lists it as uncharacterized. The record is from RefSeq and is a predicted model, not a curated record. The transcript has 4 exons. NCBI's taxonomy places the organism in Eukaryota, Metazoa, Chordata, Actinopteri, Salmoniformes, Salmonidae.